CACCCUUAAAACAGGAAGCUCUCCAUACAUUUGGCAGCAGAUCUAGAUUUGAACCACAUGGAAGCUGACAUCUCAGAUUCAUGAAGUAUUCAGAAGCCAGAAAAGUCCUUGCUGUAUAAUUACUGAUCUUAACCUGCAAGUACAGCUUCAUGCCUGUGCAACAGAGGAAGCCUGACAGCUCCGGAUCCAGCUGUAAUGCAAUGCACCAGGCGAGCUCACGCCAUGCAGCAGGCCAUAAAGCUUAGGCACGGGGCUGUAAGGGUGCUUGGAAAUGAGCUCCGUUGCACCUUCAAGAUCACAACACUGGCAGCAUCCUUCUCACAGUGCAUCUAUGCUGUCCCUCUUCUGCCUGCCCUACGUGACGAAGCAUUCAUCUAAGCUUAAGCAGUGACUGCAGAUCCUACAGGCAGAACUCUGUGCCUGGCUCAGGCAAUUUCUUACAACUCCAGCCAUCUUCAGCAGCCAAUAGCAGAUGAUUUUCUCAAGCUGAUAACUCAAGAUAUUGUGGCGUCGUAUAAAACACCCUUUUUGGCCUGAAUCUGGACUCAGACUCCCAACGCAACACAAGACCAAAACCCUACCUGAAGGAAUUUAUCCAGCUCUCAGGUCACAUACUUGAAACAUAAUCCUCGACUGCAAAAUUUACAAAUAUUUUAACUAGCCAUUGGAACUGAAAUUGCACACCCAGUAGAUCGC
RNAcentral lists this long non-coding RNA (696 nucleotides) under Gallus gallus (chicken). RNAcentral's name for it is "long non-coding RNA NONGGAT009066". Lineage: Eukaryota; Metazoa; Chordata; Aves; Galliformes; Phasianidae. The record is from RNAcentral.